UACGUAGGGCGCGAGCGUUAUCCGGAAUUAUUGGGCGUAAAGAGCUCGUAGGCGGUUUGUCACGUCUGCUGUGAAAGCCCGAGGCUCAACCUCGGGUGUGCAGUGGGUACGGGCAGACUAGAGUGCAGUAGGGGAGACUGGAAUUCCUGGUGUAGCGGUGAAAUGCGCAGAUAUCAGGAGGAACACCGAUGGCGAAGGCAGGUCUCUGGGCUGUUACUGACGCUGAGGAGCGAAAGCAUGGGGAGCGAACAGG
Molecule: ribosomal RNA, 253 nt
Filed under: uncultured bacterium
Lineage: Bacteria
Description: partial 16S ribosomal RNA
Rfam family: Bacterial small subunit ribosomal RNA
Source: RNAcentral